CUGGGUUACGGCGACAUGUACCCCAUGACCUGGUCGGGGAUGUUGGUGGGGGCUCUCUGCGCUUUGGCGGGGGUCCUCACCAUCGCCAUGCCCGUCCCCGUCAUCGUCAACAAU
Regulatory RNA element from Aptenodytes forsteri (emperor penguin), 114 nucleotides. It matches the Rfam family "Potassium channel RNA editing signal". Rfam says of the family: This family represents a group of sequences related to the human potassium channel Kv1.1 hairpin element which directs the efficient modification of an adenosine to inosine by an adenosine deaminase acting on RNA (ADAR). The ADAR modification causes an isoleucine/valine recoding event which lies in the ion-conducting pore of the potassium channel. The record is from Rfam. NCBI's taxonomy places the organism in Eukaryota, Metazoa, Chordata, Aves, Sphenisciformes, Spheniscidae.